AUUGAACGCUGGCGGAAUGCUUUACACAUGCAAGUCGAACGGCAGCACGGACUUCGGUCUGGUGGCGAGUGGCGAACGGGUGAGUAAUGUAUCGGAACGUGCCCAGUCUUGGGGGAUAACGUAGUGAAAAUUACGCUAAUACCGCAUACGAUCUAUGGAUGAAAGCGGGGGAUCGCAAGACCUCGCGCGAUUGGAGCGGCCGAUAUCAGAUUAGGUAGUUGGUGGGGUAAAGGCCCACCAAGCCAACGAUCUGUAGCUGGUCUGAGAGGACGACCAGCCACACUGGAACUGAGACAAGGUCCAGACUCCUACAGGAGGCAGCAGUGGGGAAUUUUGGACAAUGGGCGAAAGCCUGAUCCAGCCAUUCCGCGUGCAGGAUGAAGGCCCUCGGGUUGUAAACUGCUUUUGUACAGAACGAAAAGGUUUCUACUAAUACUAGGAGCUCAUGACGGUACUGUAAGAAUAAGCACCGGCUAACUACGUGCCAGCCGCCGCAGUAA
This 500-nucleotide ribosomal RNA is filed under the name uncultured bacterium. RNAcentral describes it as "partial 16S ribosomal RNA". It matches the Rfam family "Bacterial small subunit ribosomal RNA", at positions 30 to 523 of the family's 1533-position model. The record is from RNAcentral.